RNAcentral lists this ribosomal RNA (397 nucleotides) under uncultured bacterium. RNAcentral's name for it is "bacterial SSU rRNA". It matches the Rfam family "Archaeal small subunit ribosomal RNA", at positions 725 to 1115 of the family's 1478-position model. The record is from RNAcentral.
AGUAAAUAGAUACCCUGGUAGUCCCAGCCGUAAACGAUGCUCGCUAGGUGUCAGGCAUGGCGCGACCGUGUCUGGUGCCGCAGGGGAAGCCGUGAAGCGAGCCACCUGGGAAGUACGGCCGCAAGGCUGAAACUUAAAGGAAUUGGCGGGGUAGCACAACAACGGGUGGAGCCUGCGGUUUAAUUGGACUCAACGCCGGACAACUCACCGGGGGUCGGACAGCAAUAUGUAGGCCAGGCUGAAGACCUUGCCUGAAUCGCUGAGAGGAGGUGCAUGGCCGUCGCCAGUUCGUACUGUGAAGCAUCCUGUUAAGUCAGGCAACGAGCGAGACCCGGUGCCCACUGUUACCAGCAUAUUCUCCGGAAUGAUGGGUACUCUGUGGGGUACCGCCGAUGUU